ACAAUCACUACUCUUAGGCGGAUAGCCCGGAGAAAUCCGGAUUAAUACCCCGUAACAUAUUUUGGUGGCAUCACUUAGAUAUUAAAACUCCGGUGGAUAGAGAUGAGCGUGCGUCCCAUUAGCUAGUUGGUAGGGUAACGGCCUACCAAGGCGACGAUGGGUAGCUGGUGUGAGAGCACGACCAGCCACACGGGCACUGAGACACGGGCCCG
RNAcentral lists this ribosomal RNA (212 nucleotides) under uncultured bacterium. RNAcentral's name for it is "partial 16S ribosomal RNA". It matches the Rfam family "Bacterial small subunit ribosomal RNA", at positions 121 to 334 of the family's 1533-position model. The record is from RNAcentral.